Molecule: long non-coding RNA, 310 nt
Filed under: Triticum aestivum (bread wheat)
Lineage: Eukaryota; Viridiplantae; Streptophyta; Magnoliopsida; Poales; Poaceae
Description: long non-coding RNA (TAES_LNC009034)
Source: RNAcentral
GCCUCUCUGCUCUCUCUAAGUCUACAAGAAUACACAGAAGGAAAUACUUGGUAGCCACUUUCACUCAUGAUUUUGGCCGAUUUAGGGUUGGUUUUCGAAGAUGGUGAAGUUGAAGAAAAGAUAGAUUAAGGUAAGAUCUAUCCAUUUUUGUUGGUUUUGUUCACAUGCAUGAUGUUUUUGUUCUGUUUGAUUAGUUCCUAAGUGUGUAUUCUAUGUUGUUUUAGGCAUUAUUUCAGCACUUGGAGGAGUCAUUUGGAGUUUCUGGAGUAGGAUUUGCCGUGCAAAGUGAAGUACGAAGGGGGAGAUCAAG